UGCAACUAAAGUUUCAAGGAUCUGCUG
Molecule: non-coding RNA, 27 nt
Filed under: Mus musculus (house mouse)
Lineage: Eukaryota; Metazoa; Chordata; Mammalia; Rodentia; Muridae
Source: RNAcentral